GACAGAGGUGCCGAGCGUUAGGCGGAAUCACUGGGCUUAAAGGGUGCGUAGGCGGGCUAUUAAGUCAGUGGUGAAAGCCUCAAGCUUAACUUGAGAAUUGCCAUUGAUACUGAUGACCUUGAGUACAUUUGAAGUGGGCGGAAUGUGCCAUGUAGCGGUGAAAUGCUUAGAUAUGACACAGAACACCGAUUGCGUAGGCAGCUCACUAAACUGUAACUGACGCUGAGGCACGAAAGCGUGGGGAGCAAACAGG
This 253-nucleotide ribosomal RNA is filed under the name uncultured bacterium. RNAcentral's name for it is "partial 16S ribosomal RNA". It matches the Rfam family "Bacterial small subunit ribosomal RNA", at positions 524 to 776 of the family's 1533-position model. The record is from RNAcentral.